UACGUAGGGACCGAGCGUUGUCCGGAAUCAUUGGGCGUAAAGAGCGUGUAGGCGGCCACUUAAGUCCUGCGUGAAAUCUUGCGGCUCAACCGCAAGCGGUCGUGGGAAACUGGGUGGCUGGAGUGCGGGAGAGGAGAGUGGAAUUCCUGGUGUAGCGGUGGAAUGCGCAGAUAUCAGGAAGAACACCCGUGGCGAAGGCGGCUCUCUGGAACGCAACUGACGCUGAGACGCGAAAGCGUGGGGAGCAAACAGG
Molecule: ribosomal RNA, 253 nt
Filed under: uncultured bacterium
Lineage: Bacteria
Description: partial 16S ribosomal RNA
Rfam family: Bacterial small subunit ribosomal RNA
Source: RNAcentral